CCCUGUGCACAGAGACUCCAGCCAAACCAGUAUAACCCAGUCCAUCCCAGCACAGGACGGGCUGCUCCCAGUCCUGUUGGGUUGAAGAUCCCUCUGCCAACCCCACCAAGAAUGUGCCUUCCAGUCCCAAGCUAGCUUGGCAUGUCCCCAGGCUCCUGGCAGCACCCAAAACCUUCUGCUUGGAAAGGAUGAAGAAAGGCACAAGAAAGGCUUCAGAAACAUCGAGAAACUGCCCUGAAAGACAGCAAAGCCAGCAAAGGAGGCUUCUAACUGGAUUUUUCUGAGGACGCUCUUUCUAAGGGCUGGAAACAUGCCCUGGACAACCAAAGGGAUUAGGAAAAGCCAGAUCUCAGGUUGGGAAUCACCCAAAAUGCAAGUGCAGAGCUGGGAUACUCAGGUACCAAGGAUGCUGCUAUCCUGCCUCUCAGCCACCACCACUGGCACUGGACCACCGUCACCAAUGGGAAGCAUUUGGCUGGUGCCACUCACAUCUCUGGGAUUCCAGAUGGAUCCUCCAUGGUCAGACCCUACAGCUGGGAAGUAAACAACAGGGCAAGCCCAGUGCAAGUCCCACACCCAGCCUGGCAACUGGCCACCAGCAAGACCAGCUCCCCAAGAUAAGCCUGAUCCCACAGGGUCAGUGAAGGACCCCAGUGGGAGCAGAGCCAGGGUCUGAGAUGCUCAAAACAGGGGGAAAUUUGGUGACAUGCCUAUGGAGAGAGCUCUGAAAGGAGGCUGGGGAUAGGAAUUAACUUCCUGGAGUGGGGGAAAGUGUCUGGACCCCAAAUAUAGGAAGCAAGAGACA
Taeniopygia guttata (zebra finch) is the source of this 805-nucleotide non-coding RNA. Lineage: Eukaryota; Metazoa; Chordata; Aves; Passeriformes; Estrildidae. The record is from RefSeq and is a predicted model, not a curated record.